Long non-coding RNA from Salvia splendens (bonfire salvia), 802 nucleotides. RefSeq lists it as uncharacterized. The record is from RefSeq and is a predicted model, not a curated record. Lineage: Eukaryota; Viridiplantae; Streptophyta; Magnoliopsida; Lamiales; Lamiaceae. The transcript is spliced from 2 exons.
UCGUUGUUUUUAUUGACUCACUCAAAUACGAACAAGCAAAACAUUUGUCUAUUUUUAAAUGCAACAGUAAUGAAUUUUCAUUCACUAUAUUCUUUUCAUACAAUUCUCCACCCAAUUUCACGCUAGAUUCUGCAAAUCACAAAACCAUUCUUGAUUUUUGAUUCUCGAUUCUGCAAUAUCCAUCUCAGUUCUGUUUGAAUUCAUCUCAAUUCGAGCUAUUCAAUCACACGAUCGGUUUAAUUCAUCUGCAUUCAGCAAUUUCUCAGCAAUUCUCUCCAAUCAGCGAUUUCAAUUUGCAACGAGCUAUUCAAUCGCUGAAUUCUCUGUAAUCAGCGAUUUUCUCUGCAAUCACACCACAAAUUCGCUCGAAUAUGGGUGAAUCGAUUAUAAGCCCUAGGAUCUUACACCAUAUGGUUAAUUGCAUUCAAUUACAAGUUCAGGAAGUUCUGCAAGCCGAUUGGUGUCUGUGAAGCGGACGACCAAACCAUUGCGUCGUGUGGAAAAUGUGGAGAAAUGUGUCCCAAUGACUCUAGAAAUUGUGGCAGACAAGGAAUACGAGAGCAUUUAGUUUGUUUUGAAGUACUUGAAGUUUAUAGUCGUAUUUGUUUUUAUCUUACCAGAUUGCAGUCUUACUCUAUGAAGAUUGCAGUCUUACUCUAUAAAGAUUGCAGUGUUCGUGUCUGCAUAAUUCGUAAUAGUUUUACCUUACUGGAUUGCAAUCUUACUCUAUGAACAUUACAAUGUUACGUGUCUGCAUAAUUUGUAAUAGUUUUUUACCUUACCAGAUUGCAGUGUUACUCUA